This 770-nucleotide ribosomal RNA is filed under the name Alteromonas macleodii. RNAcentral's name for it is "bacterial SSU rRNA". It matches the Rfam family "Bacterial small subunit ribosomal RNA", at positions 67 to 834 of the family's 1533-position model. Lineage: Bacteria; Pseudomonadati; Pseudomonadota; Gammaproteobacteria; Alteromonadales; Alteromonadaceae. The record is from RNAcentral.
CGGUAACAUUUCUAGCUUGCUAGAAGAUGACGAGUGGCGGACGGGUGAGUAAUGCUUGGGAACUUGCCUUUGCGAGGGGGAUAACAGUUGGAAACGACUGCUAAUACCGCAUAAUGUCUUCGGACCAAACGGGGCUUCGGCUCCGGCGCAAAGAGAGGCCCAAGUGAGAUUAGCUAGUUGGUAAGGUAACGGCUUACCAAGGCGACGAUCUCUAGCUGUUCUGAGAGGAAGAUCAGCCACACUGGGACUGAGACACGGCCCAGACUCCUACGGGAGGCAGCAGUGGGGAAUAUUGCACAAUGGGGGAAACCCUGAUGCAGCCAUGCCGCGUGUGUGAAGAAGGCCUUCGGGUUGUAAAGCACUUUCAGUUGUGAGGAAAAGUUAGUAGUUAAUACCUGCUAGCCGUGACGUUAACAACAGAAGAAGCACCGGCUAACUCCGUGCCAGCAGCCGCGGUAAUACGGAGGGUGCGAGCGUUAAUCGGAAUUACUGGGCGUAAAGCGCACGCAGGCGGUUUGUUAAGCUAGAUGUGAAAGCCCCGGGCUCAACCUGGGAUGGUCAUUUAGAACUGGCAGACUAGAGUCUUGGAGAGGGGAGUGGAAUUCCAGGUGUAGCGGUGAAAUGCGUAGAUAUCUGGAGGAACAUCAGUGGCGAAGGCGACUCCCUGGCCAAAGACUGACGCUCAUGUGCGAAAGUGUGGGUAGCGAACAUGAUUAGAUACCCUGGUAGUCCACACCGUAUACGCUGUCUACUAGCUGUGUGUGCCUUUA